GGCUUCCAAACAGUCGUGGCCACCCCUCACCCGCUCCGCCUUCCCCAACUUCCCAAGCUCCAAUCCGACAAACACUGCCAUCUCAGGGCCCGUGCCGGCUUCACGCGCAGGGGAGGAAGACUGGCCAGCCUGCCGCCAUGCCGAGCUCCCCCAACGUCUUCUUCGCCUCCUCGGCCUCACCAGCUUCCUCGCCGCAGCCCUCACCCUCUCCGCCUCGCCAUCCGCCGCAUGCCGCCGCUGCCCACACUCCUCCCGCCCGCUCUCAGUCUUCAUCAUGUGGGACCGCCGCCCCGAGAUGUCUCCGCUACGGGCUCCCCAGAGCUCUAGUCCCACCUCGCCACUGGAUCGCACGGUCGUCACAAGGGCAUGGCCUUUGUCAAGAUCUUCACCGGGUUCAACUCCAUCGGGCACCGCCGUGCGCUGAGGUGGACGUGGCUCCCUGCGGAUCGCCAGGGCCUACUUUGGGUAUGGGCCCCAAUCCUUCUUACUCGGAUCUGAAUACUCCCUUCAUGCAUACGAGCAAAUUUAUGCUUUUGUCAGCUGACGUGGUUGGCGCCUAGUUUGGUUGCCUUGAGAAACAACAGGUCAGUUGCAGUUCAACAGGUGAGUUGCUGUACUAGUAGUGAAUCAGACAGCUUAUUGACCGAAGAUCAUUGCACUUCAACAUGAGUUUCCUGGUUUUUUUUUUUGAGCAAAAACCAUGGGGCAAGAGCCCCCCGGCAACAUUAAUUAAAAAAGAGUUUUAGAGAACUUACAUAAAUGGCUUAACUAGAGGUUAGCCAAAAGAGAGGAGGAGAAAAGGAGAAAAGAAAACCAGUGCUGGUGAUUACAAAGCAUCAAGCCAUGAGCUUAUGGAAUCAUGAAGAGAAGUCUUAAUCCUACAUAGAUGACCACGUACUUCCCUCUUGAAAUCAAUCUUCCAGGUAGACAGAUUUGGAGCCUUCCCUCUUGAAAAUGAGGGCGUUUCUUUCCUUCCAGAUACACCAUGCACCUAUCAUGACCACUUCCAUGAAGAAAGGAAAUGGGAAAGCUUGCUUAACAGUAGAAAGCUUUUCAAAGAUGUUUCCUGCAUCGUUCCAGAUAAUACCCAAGACAAACCAUCUGCAGUUUGAGGAAGAGCAGGAAAAGAACAAGUGCUCAAUGGUUUCCUCAGCGCCAUCCUGACAAAGAGCACAAUUAUAGCCUUCCUCCAGAUAUUUGCGUCUUCUCCUUAACAUGUUUCGGGUGUUUAGCCUGUCAUUCAACACCAGCCAAGCAAAAAAAUUAAUUUUCGAAAUACAUUUGGAUUUCCAGAUCCAGAUGACUGCUGGAUGGGGAGCCACAUUAGCAAAAUGAUGUUGGUAGUAUUUGCUAGAAGAAAAUCUCUGGUUUCCCCAAAUGAAAGUCCACUCAUCUUUAGUUCCAUCCUGAACCUGUUGUAGCUGUUCCAGAUCAUGCUGAAGCUCUAAGAAAUCGUUGUGUGCCUACCUGGUCAUGGGAAUAUUGAAACCUUCUAGUUGAUCCUCCAAAGUUCUGAAUUUCCAGUAGGAAAUAAUUGGAGAUUUGGCAAACUGAAACAGAUUUGGAAAGGAGUUGGAGUAAAUACUUUCAUUUUUUUUUCUCGAAUACACAGGAGAACUGCGCAUCAUUGUAUUAAAAGGAGAAGAGUAAAUACUUUCAUCAACUAAAUCUUCCCAGAAACCUAUCGUGUCACCAUUCUUAGGGGUACAGAAGGCAAUGCCCCUAUACUUUACAUGAAGCCUUAAGAUAUCCUUCCACCAGAAGGAGCCUUUUUGUCUUGCAAGAUGAGGGACAACCUCCCUGUAAUAUCUUUGCCAGAUAAGUUUGACCCAUUGCACGUUCUCUUUUUUGUAAAAUUUGUCUAAUUGCUUGAUCAAUAGGGCCUCAUUUUGAAGGCUGAGGUUGAUGAAUCCAAGUCCUCCCUUGCCUUUUGGUCUUUGAACUAAAUUCCUAGCCGCCAGAUUAUAACCAUUCUUCCUGAAAUCACUUCCUCUCCACAGGCAGUUUUUCCUAUGCUUAUCAAUAAUUUCUAUUACAGCAGCAGGAAUUUUGAGAGAGCACAUGUAGUAAGUUGGGAGGGAAGAUAGAACUGAAUUUACCAGUUGCAAAUGUCCAGCAUAGGAGAGAAAUUGUGAGCUAGCUGAGAGCCUUCUUUCUAUUCUGCAGAUAAGUGGAGCAUAAUCCUUGACUUGGGGCUUAGUAAGCCCCAUUGGCAAGCCAAGAUAAGUGAAGGGAAAUGUGCCAAUUAAACAUCCAAAAGCACUUGCAAGUUGAGCAGUCUUCUCUUGACUCUUGUUAAUGGGUAGGAGGCAAGAUUUAUGGUAGUUCACAACUAACCCAGUUGAGAUAGCAAUUCUAUGAAGGAUUUCUUUUAGAUGCAGCAAUUGAGUGUCACAGCCUUGCAUGACUAAUAUGGUGUCAUCUGCAUAUUGAAUUAUUGGGAAAGGGUCUUCUGCACUCUGAGGGAAUGGAGGUACUAAAUGUCCUUGUGCAUACUCAUCAUUAAUCACACACUGGAGUAAGUCUGCAGCAAUAGCAAAGAGAAGGGGUGAUAGAGGGUUGCCUUGCCUGACCCCUCUUUUGCACUUAAAUUCCUUUCCUGCCACAACAUUAAGAAGGAUAGAUGUAGUUGCUGUGGAGAGAAUAUCUUUUAUCCAGCAAAUCCACUUUGAGCUAAAUCCUUUAGCUUGAAGGAUUUUAAUGAUGGCCGAAUGCUCCACAAGGUCAAAGGCCUUUUCAAAAUCUAACUUGAGGAUGAUGAUUUCCUUCCUUGACUGAUGACAUUGUUGCAAAUAUUCAAAAGCCCAUCCAAGACAAUCUUGGAUACUUUUGACUUUUCCCUUUGAUAAAACCAUACUGGUUGGAAUGAACAACAUUGUUGAUGUCCCUCUGUAAUCUAUUAGUAAGAAGCUUGGCUAUAAUUUUGAGGGGAGUAUUCAAGAGUGAGAUGGGCCUGAAAUCAUUCACAGUUUCUGGGUUGUCUUUCUUUGGGACAAGCGUGAUAUAAGAGGAAUUGAUACUUUUGAGGUCUGUAGAAUGACUGUGAAAGUCAUGACAGAGCUUGUAAAUGUCCUCUCUGAUGAUAUGCCAAGUUUUCCGGUAGAACAGACUAUUAAAGCCAUCUGGGCUAGGAGCUUUAUCCCUUGGAAGGUCUAGUAUUAACGCAUCAAUUUCCUCUUUACUAAAAGGUAGACAAAGAUUAUCUAAGGUACUACAGGGCUGCAUGAGAGUCUGGAGAUCAAACUGCAUGGAAGUUUCAAUGGAGAUGCCUAGCCUUCUCUUGAAUUCCUGAUAAAAAAGGCCACUCUUUUCACCAUGAUCCGAAACCAAUCUGCCAGUACUGUAUGAUAUUUGGCUGAUGACAUUCCUCCUGUAUCUCUCAGUAGCCAUUGCAUGAAAGAAUUUGGUAUUUUCAUCCCCAAAUUGGACCAGCCUUUGUGUAAAUCUUUGUCUCCAGUAAAUGUUUUGCAUUCUCAGCAGAUUUUGAAUAUGCAAUUUGUGAAUGCUCCUAAAGUCUGCCUCCUGCUGGAAUAAAUCUCUGUGUUCUUCUAACUUAUCAAAAAAGGCUAAAGUAGCAUUACAGUUUGCAAUAAGAGCAGACAAAUUGGACAGACCUUUAGCCCAAUGCUUUAAAAUUCUUCUGAGCAAUUUUAGUUUAUCACUAACAACAUGAGCACUAUUGACCUUCCUGGAAGGGAUGGACCAGGCAUUUGAAAUUUGACUAAAGCAACAGUCAUGAUUAAACCAGUAAUUUUCAAACCUAAAAAUAUUGGCCUUAGGAAUUCUGGUACCAAUUUGGAUUUUGCAAGGGAUGUGAUCAGAAGUGGUUCUGGCCAAAGGCAGGACUAAGGUUUUAUUGUUGGCCACGGAGUGAACAUAUAGACAACCAAUAAGCUAUACCUAUAUACUAGAUAAACAAACACAUUGAUGAUGCAAGGGAACAAGUUCUAUGUCCUAAAUUCAACCUAACACACCUCUCUUAUAACCACCAGGGUGACAAGCAAUUCGUGACUAGCUCACCCUAAGAAUGAUUAGGAAAGCUCGACGCAAAGUGAAAGUGAAGAAUAACUAAAAUGUGACACCAAGAGGAAGCAACAAAGAAACAAACAACUCGAGCAAAAGCUACCACCAAAUUAAAGCUUCACUUAACCAAGCACGCAAUGAUUUAGCAAUGAUUUGCAAAGCUCGAAACAAGCAGAAGCAAAGCUUAACAAAAAAAAGCUGACCAAAAGUCUCACUAAAAGAGACUAGAGCUAAUUAAGUGUGCACGAACAAAGCUAUAACAGUAAAUAACACUUAACAAAGCAUGCGAAGAUUUGUUGUAAUUAGAAAGAUCAAGUACUAAUUAAUUCGCACUAACAAAGCAUGCAAGAACUAACAAAGAUUAGUGUUGACACCGUUUUUUGACACGUGUCAAGGAAGGUGAUUUCGGUGAAAGAAAGGUGGCCGAUUCAAAAUAAACCAAAAGAUGCACAGAGUUGGAAUCGGCCGAUGGGAGUCUGUCCGAUGGUCCAGGAGAAUAUUUUGCGAAGAUGUUGAUUAGUCCGCUCUGGUACUCGGCCGAUGGAGGGUUGCCGAUGAAGUCAAGGAAGGAGAAGAGGAUCCGGACUCUACAAAAAUCUUGAUGAUUCGGUUGUAAUAUUUUAAAUAGUUUAUCUUUUAGAUAGUCUUUUCUUUAGGGUCGAGUAAUGUUUGCCGUAAUCGGUUAGGACUUGAUAGCGCUAGGCUAUAUAUAUCAGUUUUAUUUUUGCGUCAACAAUUAGCAAGAAUAAAAACUAAUGAACUAUAGCUAAAGCAUGCAAGAAUUUACAAGAAACAUUUGUAUUAAAAGCUUAAGCAAGAGAGUAACAAUUAAUAGUACGUGCAAAGAUGAAUUACAAACCGUGCGCUGUAGGCUUGCUCGUCUCAUAUGGGCUAGUUGUGCCGUCUCAGGUGUGGUUUUUUAAUUUUUAUAUUUUUUUUCAUUUUUUACAAAAAUACAUU
Long non-coding RNA from Panicum virgatum (switchgrass), 4983 nucleotides. RefSeq lists it as uncharacterized. The transcript has 3 exons. NCBI's taxonomy places the organism in Eukaryota, Viridiplantae, Streptophyta, Magnoliopsida, Poales, Poaceae. The record is from RefSeq and is a predicted model, not a curated record.